GACGACAUAAUCUACAUCCACCAUUUCAAAGGCUUUGACUGGUUUGGGUUUCCUCUGGAAACCAAAGAUUCUAUUGAGGAAUUAACUUUAUUUAUAUAGCAAAU
Molecule: long non-coding RNA, 104 nt
Organism: Telopea speciosissima
Lineage: Eukaryota; Viridiplantae; Streptophyta; Magnoliopsida; Proteales; Proteaceae
Exons: 3
Source: RefSeq, a predicted model, not a curated record